RNAcentral lists this ribosomal RNA (546 nucleotides) under uncultured fungus. RNAcentral's name for it is "eukaryotic LSU rRNA". The stretch from base 218 to 371 matches the Rfam family "5.8S ribosomal RNA". The record is from RNAcentral. Lineage: Eukaryota; Fungi.
UUCUUGUCACUUUAGAGGAAGUAAAGUCGUAAACAUGUCUCCGUUGGUGAACCAGCGGAGGGAUCAUUACCGAGUUUACAACUCCCAAACCCCUGUGAACAUACCACUUGUUGCCUCGGCGGAUCAGCCCGCUCCCGGUAAAACGGGACGGCCCGCCAGAGGACCCCUAAACUCUGUUUCUAUAUGUAACUUCUGAGUAAAACCAUAAAUAAAUCAAAACUUUCAACAACGGAUCUCUUGGUUCUGGCAUCGAUGAAGAACGCAGCAAAAUGCGAUAAGUAAUGUGAAUUGCAGAAUUCAGUGAAUCAUCGAAUCUUUGAACGCACAUUGCGCCCGCCAGUAUUCUGGCGGGCAUGCCUGUUCGAGCGUCAUUUCAACCCUCAAGCACAGCUUGGUGUUGGGACUCGCGUUAAUUCGCGUUCCUCAAAUUGAUUGGCGGUCACGUCGAGCUUCCAUAGCGUAGUAGUAAAACCCUCGUUACUGGUAAUCGUCGCGGCCACGCCGUUAAACCCCAACUUCUGAAUGUUGACCUCGGAUCAGGUAGGA